This 73-nucleotide transfer RNA is filed under the name Clavaria fumosa. RNAcentral's name for it is "tRNA-Arg". It matches the Rfam family "tRNA". Rfam says of the family: Transfer RNA (tRNA) molecules are approximately 80 nucleotides in length. Their secondary structure includes four short double-helical elements and three loops (D, anti-codon, and T loops). The record is from RNAcentral. Lineage: Eukaryota; Fungi; Basidiomycota; Agaricomycetes; Agaricales; Clavariaceae.
ACAUCUUUAGCUGAAUAGGUACAGCAAUUGCCUUCGAAGCAAAUGUUUAUUGGUUCGAAUCCAAUAAGAUGUU